GGGGCGCCUCUAGGAACCAGAAUCCCGCAGAUGACUGCACAGACAAGAUCGUGCCCCCAAGAUCGGCGAGCCGGGCGCCCACCGCGCCCCAGCCCCCGCCCCGGGAGUUCCUGCGCCACCCGCAGCGGCCCUGAGCUUCAAUCUGCACUUUCAAAACUUCCCAGUUGCCUCCAGAGCCCUGCAGUUGAAGAUCUUGUGUAGCACAUGGUUUUGCUGUUUUCCUCACCCUGAACUCCCUCCUUGGAGGGCCAUCGUUCUCUGUCUCAGAUUCCACCCUCCUUAUCACACAACUAGAGCUUCGGAGGAACGUGAUGGGGCUCCCAACUAAGGAGGGAAAGACCAUCAUAGCUCAGGGAUGAGGCUCCGAGAUCCUCAGAUAACAUCAAUUGUCCUCUGUCUUCUCUUGACUUGGCACACCCUUGCUUGGAGCAGGGCAGGAGCAGCUGAAAGGGAGGUGGCACCUGGAGGUCUCAGUCAUUUCACUUCUCUGAGCCUCAGUUUUCCCAUAUGCAAAGUGAAGAGGUAAGACUCCCUCAGGGUUUUGCAUCUUCUUAAUGGCAGAAACCUAUUCAAACAAAAUAUUAUGUAAAUGUUCACCAUAGGCGGGGCGAGGUGGCUCAAACCUGUAAUUCCAGCACUUUUAGAGGCCCAGGAGGCUCUUGAGGUCAGGAGUUCGAGACCAGCCUGACCAACAUGGCGAAAACCUGUCUCUACUAAAUAAUACAAAAAUUAGCUGGGCAUGGUGACACACACCUGUAAUUCCAACUACUCGGUAGGAGGCUGAGGCAGGAGAAUCGCUUGAACCCAGGAGGGAGGCGGAGGUUGCAGUGAGCUGAGAUUGCACCACUGCACUCCAUCCUGGGUGACAGAGUGAGACUCUCUCUCAAAAAUAAGUUUAUAAAAGAAUGUAUAUUGUUCUGAUUGACACUGAAAUAGGGUCAACUACCCCCGGUCACCAGAGCAGCAGGAACACCUCAGGGGCCACACUUUGGAGGCACUGCCCAGAAAGAUUUCUGGGUCUUUAAAAGUCCCUUCCAGUUCUGGGAAAUCCUAUGUGAAAAUGAUGGUCCCUGCUUGCUAUAAUCCCUACAGGUGACUUAUUAUCUAAGCCAUUUAACACAGGAUUGAAUACUAUGCGACUAUGUGCCAAGCAAGAAGCAGUGUUGUAUGGGACACCCUAGCUGUGUAUAAGGUAUCUGGUAAUAACACAGGAGGCCACAGUGAUAGACUGUGAUAACGGAAGUAAUUCCAUAUCCAGUUUAAGCGUCUUUUCUAGGGAGUAUAAAUCGUUAUCUCCAUUCCAAUAUGGACUGAAAGGUAUCGACUUUUAUCCAUGUGCCAAAAAUUAGAUUGGCUGGUUCCUCUCUUCUACUCCAUACAAGGUCAGGUAUCAUAAUAAGGGCUCAGAGUGGUCCAAGCUGCCCAAAUAUCUGUGUCUUCCACUCUGACCUGUCUGGGAACUCCAAAUUUAUAUCCAACUGCUUACUUGACAACUGUAGUUGGUAGCCUAUCAGGCAUCUCAAAUUUGACCUAGCCAAAGCAGAAGUCCUCAUUUUCCCCAUAAAUCUCCUCCCCAGUUUUCCCUGUCUGAAUCAAUGGCAUAAGCAACUACAUCAUUGCUCAAAUCAGAACCUUAUGAGUCGUACUGAAACCAGCCAAAGAGUCCCAUAGACAGUUGUUUUUGUUUUUGUUUUUGAGACAGAGUUUGGCUCUUAUUGCCCUCACUGGAGUGCAGUGGCACGAUCUCGGCUCACUGCGACCUCCACCUCCUGGGUUCAAGUGAUUCUCCUGCCUCAGCCUCCUAAGUAGCUGGAAUUACAGGCACGCCACCAUGCCCAGGUAAGUUUUGUAUUUUUAGUAGAUACAGGGUUUCAUCAUGUUGGCCAGGCUGGUCUUGAACUCCCAACUUCAGGUGACCUGCCUGCCUCAGCCUCCCAAAGUGCUGGGAUUAUAGAAGUUGACCCUUUUGCAGUUAAAGCUGGAAACUUAUUUGUUUUAUCCGAGUUCCUUCCUCAGGAGAGGACCUUCAGGCCUCUCACAAAAAGUAUCAAAGAACUGAAGCCAUAAAAAGUAUCAAAAGAACUGAAACCAGAUCACUGCACUAGAUGCUGGGCCCCUCAGUCACCAUGAUUGCUUCCUUGCCCCUCCCAUGUUCCUGUUUUCUUACAUAUUGUUACAUUUCUUUCCUGCUAUAUAAACCCUUGGUUUUGGUCAGUCAAGGAGAUGGAUUUGAGACUGCACUCCCAUCUCCUUGGCUGCAGCACCUGAUUAAAGCCUUCUUCCUUGGCAAUACUUGUCAUCUCAGUGAUUGGCUUUCUGUGCACCGAGCAGCAGGACCUAGACCAAACCCCUGGUGUUUCGGUAACAAUACUUGAUUCCUCCCAUAUACAGUCCAUCAGCAAAAUAGCCUCAAAAGCGUAUCCACCAUCCGACUACUUUUUUCCACGUACACUACUGCAACAUUGUCUUAUAUCUGGACUGUUGCAAUAGCAGUGAACCAGAAGGGAGCUUAACUGGUCCUCUGAAUUCAUUCUUGCCUUAAAUAAAUCUUCCAUAUAGUAACCAAAGUGCAUUCCCUGCCAUCAUUUUGAUCAUGAGCUCAUCAAGCAAAUACUAGGCUGGUUGAGAAAGGUGAUAAUGGAUAUUUGAAAAACGAGUUCUAUUUGGGUUUUCUGUUCUUUUGAACGACUACAAGAUUGCUAAAUAUCACAUUUGGUAUCAGACAUGGGGUGACCAAAAACUGAAAGGCAAAAAAAAUCCAAAACCCCAAAUGUCUGCUGUAGAAUUUAUGGCAGUGAGUUCUGCCAUUAAGGCAUUCAGUGUAUUAGGACCACUAUUCCCUGGCUUCCCCACCCUUCAACAAUCAAGACCAGAAACCAAGGAAUUGAGAAGAAUCAGUUGAACAUGGCAUUCUUUAGUAUCAAGCUAUGGAAGAAGAUGGAAAACUAUAGCAUUGUAAUAAGACUUGGCAUCUAUAUAAUUAUAAUGAAUUCUAUUAAGGGAUUAAAUACAUUCAUUUAGCAAGAUAAACUUUGAAAGUAACCGCAGUUUUUAUAAUGUUAUUUGGGAAUUUCUUCAUUUGAGAAAAUAUAAGUGGCCUCACCCUCUCUCAGUUUCUGAGAGGCCCUGGUUAGACAUUCACUGUAGUGGGUAAUUUAGGCAUAGCAAUACGAAAUUAAACAAUUUUAUGAGAGUACCAUUCACAGUGUAUAAUUGUUGGGGGAGGGGUGGGCAGUGUAUACUUUCUUUGGUAAUACAGUUCCCCCAAGACUUAAUAAGCUAUCUGUUAUUUCCUAGACACAGUUCUCAAAGUGCUUUAUUUCUUUGCCUUAUUUAUUUUCUUCUUAGACCUCGUACUUUCCCCGCCCCUUUCUCUUAACUUAAUGGUGGUUACUUGAGGUCAAAAAAAUGAAUUGGCUUGGGUAGAAAGCUAACACUAUCUCUCAAGAGAGAUUAGAUUAUGCUGUGCUAAUGGAAAAAUCCCAAAACCUUAAUGGCUUAAAAUAACAAAAUUUAUAUCUUUCUUGUGAUACAUAUCCAUUGGAGGUCAACAAACAAGCUCUACUCAUUGUAAUAACUCAGGGACACAGACUAAGAGGGCUACCUUUUAAUACAUGCUUCUACUAUUGGAGAGACAAGGGAAAGAGAGCAUGGUAAAUGCUGGCCCUUAAAACUUCUACCAGACUGGGAAGAUGAUGGUUAGGUUGUUGGCUGCGUUGUUUUUGAAUCUUUCAAAAUCUUCACAUGAAAACACAGAGUAAGCUGGGUGUGAUGGCUUAUGCCUGUAAUCCCAGCACAUCAGGAGGCUGAGGCAGGAGCAUCACUUGAGCCCAGGAGUUCAAGACUAGCCUGGACAACAUAGUGAGACCCCCGUUUGUUAAAAAUAAAUAAAAAUAAGGCUGGGCAUGGUGGCUCACGCCUGUAAUCUGAGCACUUUGGGAGGCCAAGGCGGGUGGAUCACGAUGUCAAGAGAUCGAGACCAUUCCGGCCAACAUGGUGAAACCCCGUCUCUACUAAAAAUACAAAAAUUAGCUGGGCAUGGUGGCACAUACCUGUAGUCCCAGCUACUCAGUAGGCUGAGGUGGGAGAAUCACUUGAACCCAGGAGGUGGAGGUUGCAGUGAGCCAAAAUCAUGCCACUGCACUCCAGCCUGGCAACAGAGCAAGACUUGAAUGUCUCAAAAAAUAACAAUAAUUAAUUAAUUAAAAUAAAUAAAUAAAUAAAUAAAAAUAAAAAA
Long non-coding RNA from Gorilla gorilla gorilla (western lowland gorilla), 4237 nucleotides. RefSeq lists it as uncharacterized. NCBI's taxonomy places the organism in Eukaryota, Metazoa, Chordata, Mammalia, Primates, Hominidae. The transcript has 2 exons. The record is from RefSeq and is a predicted model, not a curated record.